UACGUAGGUGGCAAGCGUUGUCCGGAUUUACUGGGUGUAAAGGGCGCGUAGGCGGGAUAGCAAGUCAGAUGUGAAAUGCCAGGGCUUAACCCUGGAGCUGCAUUUGAAACUGUUAUUCUUGAGUAUCGGAGAGGCAGGCGGAAUUCCUAGUGUAGCGGUGAAAUGCGUAGAUAUUAGGAGGAACACCAGUGGCGAAGGCGGCCUGCUGGACGACAACUGACGCUGAGGCGCGAAAGCGUGGGGAGCAAACAGG
This 253-nucleotide ribosomal RNA is filed under the name uncultured bacterium. RNAcentral's name for it is "partial 16S ribosomal RNA". It matches the Rfam family "Bacterial small subunit ribosomal RNA", at positions 524 to 776 of the family's 1533-position model. The record is from RNAcentral.